This 1963-nucleotide ribosomal RNA is filed under the name human gut metagenome. RNAcentral's name for it is "bacterial LSU rRNA". It matches the Rfam family "Bacterial large subunit ribosomal RNA", at positions 3 to 1991 of the family's 2925-position model. The record is from RNAcentral.
UCAAGCAAGAAAGAGCACAAGGAGAAUGCCUUGGCACUGGGAGCCGAUGAAAGACGUGAUAAGCUGCGAAAAGCUUCGGGGAGGCGCAAACAGCCAUCGAUCCGGAGAUAUCUGAAUGGGGAAACCUACUUGAGCAAACCUCAAGUAUCCAUGCGUGAAUCCAUAGCGUAUGGAAGGGAACGCUGUGAACUGAAACAUCUAAGUAGCAGUAGGAGGAGAAAGAAAACUCGAUUUCCUAAGUAGCGGCGAGCGAACGGGAAAGAGGCCAAACCGAAGGACCUGGUUCUUCGGGGUUGUGGACUGCAUUUAGCAUUGCUGAGAGAUAGACGAAUGGUUUUGGGAAAGCCAGCCGUAGACGGUGAAAGCCCGGUAGACGAAAUCUUGAAGCAGCGAGCAGGAUCCAGAGUACCACGAGACACGAGAAACCUUGUGGGAAGCCGGGGGGACCACCCCCCAAGCCUAAAUACUCCCUAGUGACCGAUAGUGAAGCAGUACUGUGAAGGAAAGGUGAAAAGGACCCCGGGAGGGGAGUGAAAGAGAACCUGAAACCUUGUGCUUACAAACAGUCAAAGGCCUACGGGCUGAUGGCGUACUUUUUGUAGAACGGUCCGGCGAGUUACUAAUGCCAGCGAGGUUAAGUGGUCAGAAGCCACGGAGCCGAAGGGAAACCAAGUCUGAAUAGGGCGUAGAGUUGGUAUUAGUAGACCCGAAACCGGGUGACCUAUCCAUGUCCAGGUUGAAGGAACCGUAAAAGGUUUUGGAGGACCGAACACACAUGUGUUGAAAAACGUGGUGAUGAGGUGUGGAUAGCGGAGAAAUUCCAAUCGAACUCGGAGAUAGCUGGUUCUCCUCGAAAUAGCUUUAGGGCUAGCCUCGAGCUGGAGUCUAACGGAGGUAAAGCACUGAACUGACGCGGGGCCCAAAAAGGUUACCAACUCAUAUCAAACUAAGAAUGCCGUCAAGAUACCCUCGGGAGUCAGUCUGCGUGAGAUAAGUCGCGUGGACAAAAGGGAAAGAGCCCAGACCGACAGCUAAGGUCCCAAAGUACGUGUUAAGUGGAAAAGGAUGUGGGAUUUCAAAGACAACUAGGAUGUUGGCUUAGAAGCAGCCAUACAUUUAAAGAGUGCGUAAUAGCUCACUAGUCGAGAGAACCUGCGCCGAAAAUGUAACGGGGCUAAAACACGACACCGAAGCUACGGAUUCCUUACUAAGUAAGGAGUGGUAGAGGAGCAUCCUGCAAGGACGAAGCCAAAGUGAGAGCGAUGGUGGACGAAACAGGAGAGAGAAUGCCGGAAUGAGUAGCGAGAUACAUGUGAGAAACAUGUAGGCCGAAUAUCUAAGGAUUCCUGGGUAAAGCUAAUCUUCCCAGGGUUAGUCGGGGCCUAAGGCGAGGACGAGAGUCGUAGUCGAUGGAUAACAGGUUGAUAUUCCUGUACUACACAUAAUCAGAACUGUGGGGACGCAGGAGGAUAGGGAAACCGGGGAAUGGAAAGACCCGGUCAAGCGCAAAGCUGUGGGAGAUAGGCAAAUCCGUCUCCUGUAAGUGAAACGUGAUGAGGACUGAAAAAAAGUAAGGAAGUUUCCGAAUCCACACUGCCGAGAAAAGCCGCUAUUGCGUUAUGUGUACCCGUACCGUAAACCGACACAGGUAGAUGAGGAGAAAAUCCACAGGCCGACGGGAGAAGUGUUGUUAAGGAACUCGGCAAAAUGACCCCGUAACUUCGGGAUAAGGGGAGCCUCGCAAGAGGCCGCAGAAAAGAGGCACAAGCAACUGUUUAGCAAAAACAUAGGUCUAUGCGAAACCGUAAGGUGAAGUAUAUGGGCUGACGCCUGCCCGGUGCUGGAAGGUUAAAAGGAGAGGUCAGCGCAAGCGAAGCUUUGAAUUCAAGCCCCAGUAAACGGCGGCCGUAACUAUAACGGUCCUAAGGUAGCGAAAUUCCUUGUCAGGUAAGUUCUGACCCGC